AUCGAUGAAGAACGCAGCGAAAUGCGAUAAGUAAUGUGAAUUGCAGAAUUCAGUGAAUCAUCGAAUCUUUGAACGCACCUUGCGCUUCUUGGUAUUCCGAGGAGCAUGCCUGUUUGAGUGUCAUUAAUAUAUCAAUCUUCUCUUGUUGAGUGGUUUGGAUGUGGGGGUUUGCUGGCCUCUGAAAAGGGAUUCAGCUCCUCUGAAAAGCAUUAGCAGAGCGACUCUGUUCAUUAGUGUGAUAACUAUCUAUGCUAUUGAAUGGGUGUGGUUCAGCUUUCUAACUGUCCUUGGACAAAUUUAUCAUUUAUGUGACCUCAAAUCAGGUAGGACUACCCGCUGAACUUAAGCAUAUCAAUAAGCGGAGGAAAAGAAACUAACAAGGAUUCCCCUAGUAACUGCGAGUGAAGCGGGAAAAGCUCAAAUUUAAAAUCUGGCAGUUUCUUUUAGCUGUCCGAGUUGUAAUCUAGAGAAGUGUUAUCCGCGCUGGACCGUGUACAAGUCUCCUGGAAUGGAGCAUCAUAGAGGGUGAGAAUCCCGUCUUUGACAUGGACUACCAGGGCUUUGUGAUGCGCUCUCAAAGAGUCGAGUUGUUUGGGAAUGCAGCUCAAAAUGGGUGGUAAAUUCCAUCUAAAGCUAAAUAUUGGCGAGAGACCGAUAGCGAACAAGUACCGUGAGGGAAAGAUGAAAAGAACUUUGGAAAGAGAGUUAAACAGUACGUGAAAUUGCUGAAAGGGAAACGCUUGAAGUCAGUCGCGUUGUCCAGGGAUCAACCUUGCUUUUGCUUGGUGCACUUUCUGGUUCAAUGGGUCAGCAUCAAUUUUGACCGUUGGAAAAAGGUCAGGGGAAUGUGGCAUCUUCGGAUGUGUUAUAGCCCUUGGUCACAUACAAUGGUUGGGAUUGAGGAACUCAGCACGCCGCAAGGCCGGGUUUUAAACCACGUACGUGCUUAGGAUGCUGGCAAUAUGGCUUUAAUCGACCCGUCUUGAAACACGG
RNAcentral lists this ribosomal RNA (993 nucleotides) under uncultured Basidiomycota. RNAcentral's name for it is "eukaryotic LSU rRNA". The stretch from base 310 to 993 matches the Rfam family "Eukaryotic large subunit ribosomal RNA", at positions 1 to 664 of the family's 3401-position model. Lineage: Eukaryota; Fungi; Basidiomycota. The record is from RNAcentral.